UAGACCCUGUCGUUGUGAGAAUUCUUAAUUCAUGAGUUGUAGGGAGGGACUUAUGUCACCACAAACAGAAACUAAAGCAAGUGUUGGAUUUAAAGCUGGUGUUAAGGAUUAUAAAUUGACUUACUACACCCCGGAGUACGAAACCAAGGAUACUGAUAUCUUGGCAGCAAGCAUUCCGAGUAACUCCUCAGCUCGGGCGCCUGAAGAAGCAGGAGCUGCAGUAGCUGCGGAAUCUUCUACUGGUACAUGGACAACUGUUUGGACUGAUGGACUUACCAGUCUUGAUCGUUACAAAGGACGAUGCUAUCACAUCGAGCCCGUUCCUGGGGACCCAGAUCAAUAUAUCUGUUAUGUAGCUUAUCCAUUAGACCUAUUUGAAGAGGGUUCUGUUACUAACAUGUUUACUUCCAUUGUGGGUAACGUAUUUGGUUUCAAAGCCUUACGCGCUCUACGUUUGGAGGAUCUACGAAUUCCCCCUGCUUAUUCAAAAACUUUCCAAGGUCCGCCUCACGGUAUCCAAGUUGAAAGGGAUAAGUUGAACAAGUACGGUCGUCCUUUAUUGGGAUGUACUAUUAAACGGAUUAUCCGCAAAAAAUUACGGUAGAGCGUGUUAUGAGUGUCUACGCGGUGGACUUGAUUUUACCAAAGAUGAUGAAAACGUAAACUCACAACCAUUUAUGCGCUGGAGAGACCGUUUUGUCUUUUGUGCCGAAGCAAUUUAUAAAGCACAAGCCGAAACCGGUGAAAUCAAGGGGCAUUACUUGAAUGCGACUGCAGGUACAUGCGAAUAAAUGAUUAAGAGAGCUGUAUUUGCAAGGGAAUUAGGGGUUCCUAUUGUAAUGCAUGACUACUUAACAGGAGGUCGCAAAUACUACUUUGUCUCAUUAUUGCCGCGACAACGGCCUACUUCUUCACAUUCACCGAGCAAUGCAUGCAGUUAUUGAUAGACAGAAAAAUCAUGGUAUGCAUUUCCGUGUAUUAGCUAAAGCAUUGCGUAUGUCGGGGGGAGAUCAUAUCCACUCCGGUACAGUAGUAGGUAAGUUAGAAGGGGAACGCGAAAUAACUUUAGGUUUUGUUGAUUUAUUGCGCGAUGAUUUUAUUGAAAAAGAUCGUUAUCGCGGUAUCUUUUUCACUCAGGACUGGGUAUCCAUGCCAGGUGUUAUACCGGUGGCUUCUGGGGGUAUUCAUGUUUGGCAUAUGCCAGCUCUGACCGAAAUCUUUGGAGAUGAUUCCGUAUUACAAUUUGGUGGAGGAACUUUAGGACAUCCUUGGGGAAAUGCACCUGGUGCAGCAGCUAAUCGUGUGGCUUUAGAAGCCUGUGUACAAGCUCGUAACGAAGGGCGCGAUCUUGCUCGUGAAGGUAAUGAAAUUAUCAAAGCAGCUUGCAAAUGGAGUGCUGAACUAGCCGCAGCUUGUGAAAUAUGGAAGGAGAUCCAAUUUGAUGGUUUCAAAGCGAUGGAUACCAUAUAAAAUAAAAAAGAAGCAAAAUAGAAAGAGAAAAAAUAAGUUAAGAAAUGCAGUAAUUCUUCUUUAUUCCUCUAAUUGAUUGCAAUUCAAUUCGGCUCAAUCUUUUCUAAAAAAAAAAGACUGAGCCGAAUUGAAAUAGAUCUUGAUACGAUCAUGAGACUUGACAAAUCGAGAUUCUUCUAUUCUAUAUAUCUAGAAUAUAGAAAGGUAUAAUACAAUAAACAAAUAUAAAUAAAAAUAUAGUAUUAUCGUACGAUAAUGGAAUCAAAUACGCAGUAUUUACAGAAAAGAGUCUUCGUUUAUUGGGAAAGAAUCAAUAUACUUUUAAUGUCGAAUCGGGAUUCACUAAGACAGAAAUCAAGCAUUGGGUCGAACUCUUCUUUGGUGUUAAGGUAGUAGCUGUGAAUAGCCAUCGACUACCCGGAAAGGGUAGAAGAAUGGGACCUAUUCUGGGACAUACAAUGCAUUACAGACGUAUGAUCAUUACCCUUCAACCGGGUUAUUCUAUUCCACUUCUAGAUAGAGAAACGAACUCAAGGAGAAUACUUAAUAAUACGGCGAAACAUUUAUACAAAACACCUAUCCCGAGCACACGCAAGGGAACCGUAGACAGGCAAGUGAAAUCCAAUCCACGAAAUAAAUUGAUCCAUGGACGGCACCGUUGUGGUAAAGGUCGUAAUGCCAGAGGAAUCAUUACCGCAAGGCAUAGAGGGGGAGGCGCGCCUAUACCGUAAAAUCUAUUUUCGACGGAAUCAAAAAGACAUAUCUGGUAGAGUAGAAUCGUAACCAUAGAAUACGACCCUAAUCGAAAUGCAUACAUUUGUCUCAUACACUAUUUCUGGGGGGAUGGUGAGCAGAGAUAUAUUUUACAUCCCAGAGGGUUGGAGAUACUAUUGUUUCUGGUACAAAAGUUCCUAUAUCAAUGGGAAAUGCCCUACCUUUGAGUGCGGUUUGAACUAUUGAUUUACGUAAUUGGAAGUAACCAAUUAGGUUUACGACGAAACCUAGAAAUCGAUCACUGAUCCAAUUUGACUACCUCUACGGGAUAGACCUCAACAGAAAACUGUUGAGUAACGGCAGCAAGUGAUUGAGUUCAGUAGUUCCUCAUAGAAAAUUCUUGACUCUAGAGAUAUGGAGAAGACAAAAUUGUUUGAAGCACGCACAGAACCGGAAGCGCCCCUUGUUUCAAAGAGAGGAGGACGGGUUAUUCACAUUUCAUUUUAUGGUCAGAGGCGAAGCUAAGCAGUGGUAAUUAAGACCCCCGGGUGAAAAUAGGGAUGUCUCCUACGUUACCCAUAAUAUGUGGAAGUAUCGACGUAAUUUCAUAGAGUCAUUCGAUCUGAAUGCUACAUGAAGAACAUAAGCCAGAUGACGGAACGCGGAGACCUAGGAUGUAGAAGAUCAUAACAUGAGCGAUUCGGCGGAUUUGGAUUCCUUUUCUAUAUAUCCACUCAUGUGGUACUUCAUCAUACGAUUCAUAUAAGAUCCAUCUGUCUAGAGAUCGUCAUAUACAUCUAGAAAGCCGUAUGCUUUGGAAGAAGCUUGUACAGUUUGGGAAGGGGUUUUUUGAGAAAAAAGAAGAAUCUACUUCAACCGAUAUGCCCUUAGGCACGGCCAUACAUAACAUAGAAAUCACACGUGGAAGGGGUGGGCAAUUAGCUAGAGCAGCAGGUGCUGUAGCGAAACUGAUUGCAAAAGAGGGUAAAUUGGCCACUUUAAGAUUACCAUCUGGGGAGGUCCGUUUGGUAUCCCAAAACUGCUUAGCAACAGUCGGACAAGUGGGUAAUGUUGGGGUGAACCAAAAAAGUUUGGGUAGAGCCGGAUCUAAGUGUUGGCUAGGUAAACGCCCCGUAGUAAGAGGGGUAGUUAUGAACCCUGUGGACCACCCCCAUGGGGGUGGUGAAGGGAAAGCCCCCAUUGGUAGAAAAAAACCCACAACCCCUUGGGGUUAUCCUGCGCUUGGAAGAAGAACUAGGAAAAGGAAAAAAUAUAGUGAUAGUUUUAUUCUUCGUCGCCGUAAGGUAAGUAAAUACGUAACUAGGAAUAUGGAAAAUUGCAUUUUUGGAAUUUGCAAUAAUGCGAUGGGCGAACGACGGGAAUUGAACCCGCGCAUGGUGGAUUCACAAUCCACUGCCUUGAUCCACUUGGCUACAUCCGCCCCUUAUCCAGCUAAAGGAUUUUCUCUUUUUUCCAUUCAUUAUUAUUCUAUUUAUUCUGACCUCCAUACCUCGAUCGAGAUAGUGGACAUAGGAUGCCACUCUUUAAAAUGAAAAAAAGGAGUAAUCAGCAAAAAAAACGAAUCCUUUUGUAGCUCGUCAUUUAUUGGCAAAAAUAGAAAAGGUCAAUAUGAAGGAGGAGAAAGAAAUAAAUAAUAGUAACGUGGUCCCGGGCAUCUAGCAUUCUACCCGCAAUGGUUGGCCAUACAAUCGCGAUUCAUAAUGGAAAGGAACAUUUACCUAUUUAUAUAACAGAUCGUAUACUAGUAUUCUCUUAGGACUUGGAAGUGUAGUUGUCUUUCCUUAGCUGCACAGGCAGUAAAAGUAAAGAGCUAGAGGUCGGAUCCAUCCUCUCCUCUAUUAGGCUAGGCUGAGCAGCACUUUGCGCAUUCAAUACGGCACUAUUUGAAACUGGGCUAUUUGAACCUGGUCAACAACUUAACUUCUCUUCUUGCAGCUUUGGGUUGAUAAGAUAGUUGGUUGUGGCUUAACAGAAUUGGUACUAUGUCCAUCCUGAUCUGUGACUUUGACUCUUGCUUUGAUCCCCACGUUCCAUUAGAACGAGUGUAGGAACCCUCUCUUGUCAUAACCUAUUUGAUUUACGAGAUCUAUUAUUCAAUAGAUAAGCCACUUCUCUUGGUCGUGGGGGAACUAUGAUCGAUUCUAUACCUAAUAUAAGAUAUUGAAUGAAGGUAACACAGAAUUCCAUAAUGGUUUAUAGCAGCCGUUAAGUACCCGUUCUUUCCUGGGCACCGCUAAUCGGAAUACAACAACCGUACCAUUUUGUGGAAUAGGAAUCAGCCUCACAUCAUAAACAGCCCAGGGUUUAGUUGUUUCCCCGGAAUAGGCCUUGCUCAGAGGAUACGAAUCGAAAGCCAGUCUUCGAAUGUGCUUAGCCUUUCCCGAGGAUAUUACCUUUUCUUUGAUCCAGCGAGCAGAAGUCUUUCCCUUAGCAUUGGUUUCAUGGCUUAGGAGUACCGGUACUGUUUGAAUUGCUUUGCAAGGAAAUAGUCGUUGUAGGAUCGUAUCUCCACGGAAGUACCGUUGUAGGAUCUACUGCCGUCUACUACUAUUAUAUUAUACUAUACGAGAAUUUCCACCUUGUUGAAGAUCUGGUGGUGCUACCCGAAGACUUAAAUGAAUAGCCAUCGCUGUUAAGAACAACCGAUGCCUUAUGUAUGUGUAUUGGAUCCGCUCUUCUGUUAGCAUGAACACAUGAAUGAGAUUCUAUUCCUCUUCCUUAUUCUUAAAAAAUAGAACCCUAGGUGCGGAAGUCAAAUCAAUCCUUGUUUGUACAUCGCUGAACUUACAUACCCGGGCCCGGCUCAACACAUUCUUUUAAAACAAUCGAAUAACGGCUUUUCCAUGACUUGGCCAUUCAAUCUUGUGAACUAAUCGAGACCGAAAUUGGAUAAAGAGAUACAAAAGGAGAGGAAUACCCAAUCGAUGAAAGAACAUGAAACCCUUCUGUUUCUAUAGAGGUACGGGAAACGGUUGGGGGCAAUAAAGUAGGUGAAGUGGUUGGAUUUUGCGAGCUGUUCCAACCACUGCUGGAUGUGACUCCAAGAGCCGAACGAGAAUGAAUACCACACAGAAGAGUCAAGACCGGGCUCCCUAAUAGAAUGUUUAACCGAUCCAUUCCGGAUCGAUCGAAUUGGUACGGAAGUUGUAACAUGGGAAAAGCACAGAAAACACGACUUAUUUGAAUAACCCGGUGACCUACCAAUUGUAGAAGUAGGAUUUUUGGCAAGCAAUAAGCACUUAAAUAAUACAAUUCGAGUGUACCAGAUUCUUUAUCAUUUCGAGGAAAAGGUUCGGGAGGAAAGGGAAACAACAGAGAGAUCCGAAUCGAACCUAAAUGGGAAUGACAUGAAAAAUCUUUUUCAAAACCUAUCAUUAAGGGCGUGACGACGAUAUACGAGAGGAAAAAAAAAAACUCGUGAUUGGUGUGGAGGGGAAGAUCUGCUUAUGAAAUUGUUCAAGAAAGAGUCGUCUCAUUUCCUUAUUUCUUCGUUCUUUCGAAUUCAUUCACUUCGACGGCUGGCGCUACGCUAGCUUUGCAUGAUUAGCUCCGACAGAACAGGUACUGCAUUUCCUUAGUUGGAUCCGCUCUUUCUCUCUCGUGCAGUUGUUGCUUCCGGCUAUUUAUUCAGUCGUCAAUCAGCAUUGAUCCGGGUAGUUAGUCAGUCUCUCUCUUUUUUCCCGUCCUUCUCUAUCUAUGAAAUUCCUAAUUAAGGGAGUUCGCUUUCCAAUAUCUAAAUGUUCAUGCAAAGCAACAAACGAAAUGCAAGAACUGUCACGCAGAAGUCACACAGUAUGCUGAUCGUUCUGAAAUGAUAAAAAGUAUUGGAUUUCAUAAGAGAUUCAUACAUAGAGAUCUAAACUCAUGGAAGGGCCCGGCCACUUUACUGCUUGAUAGCGGCACUGGCUCGUUCUGGGCAAUAAGUCGACACCACUCUUACUUCCUUCUUUUGAACUUGUGUAACACCACUCGGCACUUCUUUUGUCCUUGUGGAAUAGAGAAAAGUCUGUUUUCUAGCGAAACUCGAUCUCGAUAGUAAAUCAUUGGUACGUACGAGUCCCUUAUUUGUUGAGAAAUUCUUUGUUGAUUCGCCUAUUCCACGCUAAAAAAAGGGGGACCGAGAUCUUCUUUGAACGACUGAUCUGCGACUUCCUUCCGCUCGUGUAUCAGCAAUAGAGUUUGUUUGACAACAGAUCCCAAUGCCACCUGCUUUUAGCCAAUUCGUCACUACUACUACUCUUCCUCGGAAACUCAUCCGAAUCAGAAAAGGAUGAUUCCCUAGUGGGAAAUGGGAAAAGUACUACCAGCUAUUUGACCUCGAUAGCCUGCCCCAACUAUCUAUUCUCCUCCGGCACCUUCCGGCAAGGCAUCCCUACUAGAAAUCAGAAAAAAGGCCACUUUUCUGAAACGCACUUUCUUCUUUUCCAUCCAUAGAGGGAAAAAGGACUUGUCAACUUUUGCUGCUAUAUGAAACGGAAGUGGCGAUCGCUGAUGCACCAAUACAACCUCUUGAAAGGGGAAGGGGCGCGGGGCGGUACGGAGUUGUCCCAUUCUCCUAAAGAAAGCGGCAGUGGAGGGGCACUUGUGCCGUCAACCGCACCUUAAUAGCUCAGCUCAAUCGAAAUACCAAUAGGAAGAUGGCAUUGAAACUAUAAACAGACCGAAAAGAUCCAAUCUUUCGAGGGAUAGUUUGGGAUUAGGGUGCCAUCCUUGCCUUUCCAUCCCGAACCGGAUAUACAGAACUGUGAUAGAAAUCUAGGGACAAAGGUGCCAUUCAUAGCGGUAGAUGGCGCGGAAUGCCUAAACAAAGAGAAGGGGUGUAGCGAGAUCCAAUGAACCCUGGCUCUUACUCUUAAGGAAUUGGAGGCAGUGGACAACACACACUUAUUUAUUUAUUUAAUAUUUAAUCAAAUGAAAUGCCACCAGGGAGUUGAUGCCGUGCUCCCCAAGGAGAGGCCCCUGGAAAAGCCUUGUUUUUUAUGUUCUGGAGCUGCCAUCGUCUUAUUCGGACCCUUCCCCGCAUAUGAUCCCGCGCAACAACACGCAACUGCUAAGCGGAUAUGGAAACGAGAGCAGUUCGCCUCUUUCGAGGGAUGUCCCAAUCGCUUACCCGAGUCGACCCAUGGCCCAUACCCCUAUUUUGUUUGAUCUAUACCCAAAAGGUAUGGAGCUCUUAAGCCCUUUUCGAGGCGAGGGAUGGAUAUGGGCUUCCCCUGCCAACAUCUCUAGUACUAAUUCUGGACCUCUUCCCAAGCUGGGAACCAGUCACUCUUUAAUUCGGGGAAUCGAGAUGCUGUUUACUUUGCAGAGGAUGGACCCGCGGGAGCCCUAAAGCAUGUGCCAGAGGAUAUAGGCCUAAUGAUGACCCACCCCGUGCUUCUACAACUACCUGUGUGGGUUACCUUGACCCAAAGCUAGGAAGUAGCUUUAUUAAAUUCAAUAUUAUUUCUAGAGCAAGCUGGUUAUUUGGGCGAAAGUUGUGAAUCGUAUGGCAAGCUUGGGAGCCAUUCCUAAGAAAGUGCAAACUUCUGUUCGUGUAGCAUUCCUCCGUUCCUGGGCCUGGACCACCUCUUCAUCACCCGAUUUUGCCUCGGGAGAAUGGAUUUACAAUUCCAAAAGUAGAUUUGAUCUCACCUAGUGGCUGCCAGUGGCACUAUUUCCUGGCGCAUAUCAUAAGAUCAACGCGCUGCACUCUUGUUCGAUUCGUGCCGGUGCCGGGAUACAAUACAGAUCAGAUCUUUCUCUUUAGCCAGGCCAUUCUCUAGAGGAGAGUUCCGAGAAUGAAUUCCAAUCUGGUACCAAUCUCCGAAAUCGUAUUGUAGAGUUCAAUCAAAAGGAAAGAAAGAGUUCUCACUUUCCAGUGCGCCAGUUGAAGACUGCAGUUCUCCAGGGCCAACAAAUCAAACUGCAAUCGAUACCCAAUGAGUAAUAAUGUGUAGAAUAAAAGAACGGAUCGGGACCUACACCUAAGAUUUCGGAUCUAACUAGAUCUGGUUCGCUUGUGGCUUCAGGAGAAGUGCCAGCUUGAUGAACCGACCCAAGCAAUAGUGGCACUCCCUUCUUCGUCUACUGCGGCACGCUAGUGUUCUCGUAGAUUAGAUGAAUAAAAGUGUGAGCCAAGGGAAUCCAUAGAGAUUUGCAUAGCAUAAAAAAUAGAAGUUGUGCUGCCAUCUCUUUUAUCAUCGGCAACAUUGUCUUCUUCGAAGUGAGUUCCGGCAUGAGUGCUUAUAGAACGGAUGGGACUGGGAUUGAGAUUUUAAGUAGUGGUUGCGUGCGCCGGUAAGUAGAGUAGUGGUUGCGUGGACGUGUGCUGACUCGAACUCGCUGGUAAAGAAAAGAGAGUAGAGUCUAGGGAAGUCUAUAUAAGGGUGCCGCUUCCAUCCCUCUAGUACGGAAGAUAUCACUCAUAUCGGCCGCAAAGGCCAGGCCAGGCCAGGAUUGAUCCCUGUUCUGUUCAAUUCUACGCAUGAGUCAAAGCAAAGCCGUGGAAAAGAAAGAAUAGGAUGUUGGGUACAUCGGUCCCUUGGUCUCAUACAGGUGUGAACAAGUCGGUUGUUAUCAUGCCCAACCCAAAGAAGCCAGAAGUCUUUCUAAAAUACGCUCAAGAACCCGUGUUUUUGAGGCAACAUCAGCCGUUCUAUCACUUUUGAAUGUCAUUGCCCACCUUGGAAAGACGAUUUGCUUUAGUGAACUGACACAUUGAUAGGUAGUGGAAUCCGGGCUUGGGAUCAGUGGUAGAAUCCGGACUUGGGAUUGGGAUCAGUGGUAGAAUCUGUUGUUAUCUAGCGAGGAAUGAAAGCACUCGUUUGUUCCGGUUCGGAUCCGAUUCUGGUUCAUAGGUUGGUAAGCCUCCCGCAUACGCGACUUGUGAUUUCACCUCAUCAGAACAAAAUUCAUAGGGUAGGGUUUCGAGAUCCCCAACGAAGAAGACGGAAGGUUUUCGAGGAGUUUUUCCCCCUUCCUCUUGGUUAUGUAGUUGGGGAGGGGUGGUCAAGUUCUCUCCUUACCUAGUUUUAGGUCCCACUUCCUUGGCUCGAUAAGCUGAUUGAGAUCGUUCAAUUUCUUGGGUAGAUCAACUUGUAAUUUCGAAUUUCUUGCCCUCCUCUACGGAAAGUAGGCGAACGUCACAUUCAUUUUUGAGACCCAAACUAUACUAUACUAUACUAUAGACCCUCACGCCAACUGCCACUAUUUUCGAAGUUUUGUAUCUUUCGGCAUACGCUUUAACAACGUCCCCCGGUAAACGAUCUCCUUUUCUUUUGUACGAGCGAAUCAUCUCUAUAAGUUCAUUUCAUAGCCUUGCCUAGACUAGCGGUGGGGUUUGGUCCCUUGCCUUUGAUUGACUUGACUUGCCUCGUAGAAAGCAAAAGCACUGGCAGUUUAUGAACUAGAUAGAUCCCAUGACUUUCCCUUGCCCGAAGUCAACAAAGGUCAGAAUGAAACCGUAUCCAUCCACACGAGAAACUAGCUGCUAUGAACCAAGGUUCUGUUCUCAUAUCCCGGCAAGCAAAUAGGCCAGUGCUCAAACUGGUAGUAGAGAGGGCUUUCAAGUAAAGAUAGUCAAGAUCUCUAUUCUCCAGGAGGAAGGAAUCUCAGAUCCGCCAAUUCAGAGAAGAGGGAUUCGUUCUAUUCUCGCAACAUCCAUUAGCCAAGUGCCCACCCAAUUCGUACAGUCCAAUCCUGGCUUGUCAAAGAAGAAAUCUGUUGAGUGAAUGGGAUCAGUGGUAGAAGUGCCAGGUGCUAGUGCUCAACCCAAAAGACAGGUGCUGAGUUGAAGAAUAAGCCGGGAACGGAGGAAGCAAAGAAAGCGGAUGCAAAAGAAAACGGAUUUCGUAGUCGUCCUAACGCGCAACGCCGCUAAAGGCUAGUGCGCUCAAAGUAUAAGUACAAGUGUAGUGCAUCCGUUGCUACUGACUACCCUUCAUGGGCAACACAAUUAGUUUAGUUAUGAGUUAUGCCCUUUUUUAUCGAUCAAGAAAUUAGAGAAAUGAUUUCUAUCUCUAUUGGGCUGGGCCAUUGAGAAUGAUCAAUAGUAUUCUACUCCGGUAUCAGGAACGUAAGAACUUCCCGAUGUAAGGAAAUCACUCCGAUCACUGGGCGCCUGGGCUAAUUGAAUGGGGCAUAUGAUCCAUACGCUCGCUAAGAUGAAUUUGUCACAUUUCUUUAUGAGAUUUUUGAUAGCGUAUUUGUAUUUCUAUAAUAUGAGAUUGUCCAACCUGAACUGAACCGAGUGCAUUUGAGCAUAUAGGACAGGGCUCACUAAUGUGGAACGAAUCGUAGUCCUCGUACGUAAUAUUCUUCUUUGCCUUGGGCUGAGGUAGGGUCAACGGCUGAAUUAGCAAGUGAAGUGGAUGCAUGAGUGCUUCCAUGAGCGGAAGGAAGAAAGCCUGCGAAUAGCGAAUCUGUUCAGUGGUCAAUAAAGCCCUUGCUGCUAGGAAAGCGGUUCUGUCCAAAGCUCGGGAUAAAAGGUUAAGCACUUCUCUGCGGCACUGGCACUUGAUACUGGCCAUAGGUUGACACCCUUGUUAGUAUAUGUUCACUUCAGCAGAGCAGAAAAGAUACCAACAGCAGAAAUACUAGUCCAGCCCCGUGAGAAGCAUUGGCAAGGAUAAGCUUUCCAUGCUCCCAGCUUGAAUGUGUAUCUUUUAGCCUGAGCUGACUAGUACUAGUUCCUUGUGAAGUGCAAGGGAACGAACUCAAGUAUAGAUUGGCAGAACGGGUUUUUGAAGCGGGUAGCACCACCUUAAGAUGGAAUCGAUACUAGAGAAAGGGGAAUGGAAUCGAGCCUAGAUCACUUACUUUACUAGAUCAAUAUCGCUCUUCCUAAAGGUUCGGCUCUAGCCUCUGUAAAAAGUGAAGAGAAGCCCCACCCCAGAUAUGCCUAGGCUAUGUAUGUUGUUCCGUCUAGUCUAGUCUUGUUUUUCUAAGGAAAUAAACACCUACUUUUUCUAAGGAAAUAAACAGCAAUGCUGUGGUGAAAGAGAGUGGUAUGGUAUCUUCACUAUCGCAAUGUUUUCAUGUUCUCAAUGAAUCACUAAUUCCCUAGGAAUAGCACAAGAUGAAGCCCGAAUGGUAGAAUCUCGUCGUAAUGGAUUGGAUCUAAGCAAGAUUCCUGAUUCAUGUACUCUCCUAGUUGGGUUGUCCGUCUUCAACAUUCCUCCAUAAGACAGAUUUCCUCGAUUCCUUGCUAUAUUCUAUUCUCGAACAGAGGUCAGUCCCGCUUCCUCCUCUUUUUUGAGUGAGUGGCUUUCUCUUUUUAGAAGUCGAAGUCUAGACCUGGCUAAGUCUGGCACCUUUCUUGUAGCAGGGCUACGUCCUAAUGGAUUGUUUCACGCUCGAGGCACCUAGAAUGUCAUCUUUGUCCAGAGCAGAGGAAUGAGGACUUUCUUUCACUGAAAAGCAAAGCGGGCGGGCUGGUGUUGGUCAACCUCUACCUUGGCCUAUGAGAAGCUGUAGUGUAGGUUGUUCUACAAAGGCGGCUUGUCCCUCAUCAAUCUUGUGGAUGAGUCUCUCUGCUCCAAACCAUUGGGAUGAAUCGAUUCCAUAGCACAGGCGCGUGCGCUGAGGAAGAGCGGUAUGGAUGGAGUCGAGAUCCAUUGCUGCCGCAGUCAUAGGUUCGUUAGUCAGCUCAGAAGCAAGCAUGAGCACGCUGUGACAAAGAAGUCCUGUUCCUGUUCUAUUUGAAGUUGAAGGUGCUCUGGUGCAAUCCUUACCGACAGAAAAAGAUUGCAGUCGGGUUGAUAAUAAUCGAGUGCCAUUACUUCGUCGGUCCGAACCAAGGAAAGGAAUCCGUUAGAAAUGUUUUGAAAUGGAUAUUGUUCUCUCUUUGAUUAGGGAUGCUAUAUGAAAAGAAGUGGAGUUUGAAAAAGGGAACGGAAUGGUCAAACCGGAACUGCUAGAGGAACGAAUUUUCAAUAGCAUAACUUGGGCUCCUAGAAUAUGGGUGGGGCCCUUGGGACAAUCUAUUUGAUUGCAGGGACAGGUACGCUGAAUAUGACUGGGGAUUUUCCUAUGGGUAUUGGAGCGGGUCCAAGCAGAUUAAAGAGGAUGAGUUGUCAGAGACUGCUAUUUAUUCGAAUUAUUUAUGGUAUAUUUAUCAUAAAAAGGGGGAGGUGCAAGAGACUGAUUCGGACUUCUUGCAGAGUGGAACAAUGCAGUACCAGACACGAGAUAUAUCUUUCAAAGAAGAAGGCUUUUUUCGAAUAAGCCAAUUGAUUUGGGACCUUCGGAUCCAUUCUUUUUCCUAUUCAAAGAUAAGGCCUUUGUCUCUGUGUUUUCACGUCGAGAAUUCUUUGCAGAUGAAGAUGAAGAGAUGGCAAAGCGGCUUAGUACCAGUACCUGGAGAAAAAA
Zea mays is the source of this 12555-nucleotide RNA transcript. It is a transcript of the gene named ribulose bisphosphate carboxylase large chain-like, with no coding region annotated. NCBI's taxonomy places the organism in Eukaryota, Viridiplantae, Streptophyta, Magnoliopsida, Poales, Poaceae. The transcript has a single exon. The record is from RefSeq and is a predicted model, not a curated record.